GACGAACGCUGGCGGCGUGCCUAAUACAUGCAAGUAGAACGCUGAAGAGAGGAGCUUGCUCUUCUUGGAUGAGUUGCGAACGGGUGAGUAACGCGUAGGUAACCUGCCUGGUAGCGGGGGAUAACUAUUGGAAACGAUAGCUAAUACCGCAUGAAAUGGAUUAUCGCAUGAUAAUCGAUUGAAAGGUGCAAAUGCAUCACUACCAGAUGGACCUGCGUUGUAUUCGCUAGUUGGUGGGGUAACGGCUCACCAAGGCAACGAUACAUAGCCGACCUGAGAGGGUGAUCGGCCACACUGGGACUGAGACACGGCCCAGACUCCGACGGGAGGCAGCAGUAGGGAAUCUUCGGCAAUGGACGGAAGUCUGACCGAGCAAUGCCGCGUGAGUGAAGAAGGUUUUCGGAUCGUAAAGCUCUGUUGUAAGAGAAGAACGAGUGUGAGAGUGGAAAGUUCACACUGUGACGGUAUCUUACCAGAAAGGGACGGCUAACUACGUGCCAGCAGCCGCGGUAA
Molecule: ribosomal RNA, 513 nt
Filed under: uncultured bacterium
Lineage: Bacteria
Description: partial 16S ribosomal RNA
Rfam family: Bacterial small subunit ribosomal RNA
Source: RNAcentral